UACUCUGGUAUCUCUUCAUAUCAUAUAAAUCUUUUGCCUUUUACUAAAGAUUUCAGUGGAGAGGACAAAAAAAAAAAAAAAAAAAAAAAUGCUGUAGAAUAGCACUCAAGACCUUC
Sciurus carolinensis (gray squirrel) is the source of this 116-nucleotide small nuclear RNA. RefSeq annotates it as U5 spliceosomal RNA. The transcript has a single exon. The record is from RefSeq and is a predicted model, not a curated record. NCBI's taxonomy places the organism in Eukaryota, Metazoa, Chordata, Mammalia, Rodentia, Sciuridae.